RNAcentral lists this ribosomal RNA (253 nucleotides) under uncultured bacterium. Its description in RNAcentral is "partial 16S ribosomal RNA". It matches the Rfam family "Bacterial small subunit ribosomal RNA", at positions 524 to 776 of the family's 1533-position model. The record is from RNAcentral.
UACAGAGGUGGCAAGCGUUGUUCGGAAUUACUGGGCGUAAAGGGCGCGUAGGCGGCCUUCUAAGUCAGACGUGAAAUCCCCCGGCUUAACCUGGGAACUGCGUCUGAUACUGGAGGGCUUGAGUGCGGGAGAGGGAUGUGGAAUUCCAGGUGUAGCGGUGAAAUGCGUAGAUAUCUGGAGGAACACCAAUGGCGAAGGCAGCUCGCUGGGACGUUACUGACGCUGAGACGCGAAAGCGUGGGGAGCAAACAGG